GAUGAACGCUGGCGGCGUGCCUAAUACAUGCAAGUCGAGCGAACGGACGAGAAGCUUGCUUCUCUGAUGUUAGCGGCGGACGGGUGAGUAACACGUGGAUAACCUACCUAUAAGACUGGGAUAACUUCGGGAAACCGGAGCUAAUACCGGAUAAUAUUUUGAACCGCAUGGUUCAAAAGUGAAAGACGGUCUUGCUGUCACUUAUAGAUGGAUCCGCGCUGCAUUAGCUAGUUGGUAAGGUAACGGCUUACCAAGGCAACGAUGCAUAGCCGACCUGAGAGGGUGAUCGGCCACACUGGAACUGAGACACGGUCCAGACUCCUACGGGAGGCAGCAGUAGGGAAUCUUCCGCAAUUGGCGAAAGCCUGACGGAGCAACGCCGCGUGAGUGAUGAAGGUCUUCGGAUCGUAAAACUCUGUUAUUAGGGAAGAACAUAUGUGUAAGUAACUGUGCACAUCUUGACGGUACCUAAUCAGAAAGCCACGGCUAACUACGUG
This 497-nucleotide ribosomal RNA is filed under the name uncultured bacterium. RNAcentral's name for it is "partial 16S ribosomal RNA". It matches the Rfam family "Bacterial small subunit ribosomal RNA", at positions 28 to 507 of the family's 1533-position model. The record is from RNAcentral.